AGUGUCACCGCGGGCUCGCCGAUCGUCGGUCGCGCGUAUUUUUUACUCGAUCAUUGUUUGCAACCAUUGUAUUAAGAAAAUGAUACGAAAAGUCGCUGUUUACAAUAUUGUUAUUGUUAAAUAUGCUGAAUUAUAGUCUAGUAAAAGUAUCCCCGAUCGGCAACAACGUUUAGCAUAACGUGCGGAGUGCUUAGAUAGUAAAAUAAUGAAUUUCACACGCUGCCGCAGUCUUAUGUUUGAAUUGUCGUGAAUUGUAGAAUCGAUUUUUAGAUGUUAUUAAUGAAAUUACUUAGGUGCUUGUGGGUGAUAUUGUUGUAAGAACGAACCUGUUCCUUUUGAAGACCGUUACGUUGACUUUUCGACCGUAGUUGAUCGUGGCGGUCUGGAAAUCGAUAAAGAUAAUAAAAAAUGCAUAUUUUCCCCAUGGUUUCAUAAAGGUUCGGUUCGAUACAGUGCCGGCACGAAUAUCGCAGGCGAAUGCUGCCCAUUUCAAAUUACCAUCUGUAUAUGAUAACUGCAGUGCGAUAUUUUUGAUGUGGUGUUGUGAUAUUAUAUUAUAAAUUGUUUUUGCGAAGGAGACUACAACGAUCGAAAAGAAACAACGUAGUAACGCGAAUGAUUUCAAGGAAAAUAACAUCUAGGACUUCAAGAAUCAAGUUGACGUCAAUAUUAUGUGAUAUCGUGUGUCGUGUGAAGUGUCAGCGACUUGUGUGAUGGCGGCCGUUUUGAAUAUGUUUCGUUUGAGAGCCGGCGUCAUGUUGCUGAGGGCGCUGUUACUGCUGUCGAUAGCGGUCUACUCUUCUUACGGUAAGUUACAACUAAUUAAAGAAGUUUACAAACAGUAAGUAACAAGAAAUAUAAAAUAUAUACCAGUUGAAUUACAAAAACAUGUAUUCAACAGAACUCAAAAAUAUGUAAUACUAACUGUUCAUCGCGAUUUUACACACGUUAAUUUGAACA
RNAcentral lists this unclassified non-coding RNA (960 nucleotides) under Melitaea cinxia (Glanville fritillary). RNAcentral's name for it is "misc RNA ENSMCXG00005004658.1". Lineage: Eukaryota; Metazoa; Arthropoda; Insecta; Lepidoptera; Nymphalidae. The record is from RNAcentral.